AGGGAUUUAGCUCAAUGGUACAGCAUCUGCCUGGCAAGCAUGAGCCAUGAGUUUAAUCCCUG
Molecule: transfer RNA, 62 nt
Filed under: Cavia porcellus (domestic guinea pig)
Lineage: Eukaryota; Metazoa; Chordata; Mammalia; Rodentia; Caviidae
Rfam family: tRNA
About the family: Transfer RNA (tRNA) molecules are approximately 80 nucleotides in length. Their secondary structure includes four short double-helical elements and three loops (D, anti-codon, and T loops).
Source: Rfam by way of RNAcentral